This 231-nucleotide ribosomal RNA is filed under the name uncultured bacterium. Its description in RNAcentral is "partial 16S ribosomal RNA". It matches the Rfam family "Bacterial small subunit ribosomal RNA", at positions 99 to 334 of the family's 1533-position model. The record is from RNAcentral.
CGGACGGGUGAGUAAUGUCUGGGAAACUGCCCGAUGGAGGGGGAUAACUACUGGAAACGGUAGCUAAUACCGCAUAACGCCGCAAGACCAAAGAGGGGACCUUAGGGCCUCUUGCCAUCGGAUGUGCCCAGAUGGGAUUAGCUAGUAGGUGGGGUAAUGGCUCACCUAGGCGACGAUCCCUAGCUGGUCUGAGAGGAUGACCAGCCACACUGGAACUGAGACACGGUCCAG